UCAGGGGUGCCCAGCACCAGGCCAGGGGCAGUGGGCACCAAGGGGCAGGCAGGAGGCUCCCUCAGAGCACCAGGCUAUUUCACAUAAUUUAUUCCCUCUUUCCCCUCCCCCGGCCGCCAUUUUGGGCGUCCCCGGGGCGGGCGCUCGGAGCCUUCAGCCCCGUGUCCGCCAUCGGCCGGGGCUGUGACAUAGGCGAGCGGGGCGAGCUGGACCUGAGCGGGGCCAGGCACAGCACCAGCAUGUGGCUUGGCAAGGAAGGACUCAGUGCCCAACACCAUGAAAGCAUCCUUUGCAUCUGUGAAAUCCCAGGUGUAUUAAAGGAGAGCUUAAUUCAUGGUAAGCUAGAGCUUUUCUUGAACCCGUCUCUGGGUUUGGGGGGUUCACCGCUGUCCUUGCCAUGGCCUGAGCUCACGUUCGUGCUUGUAGCUGGAUUUUGAUUUCCCCCCCUCAGAUCCUGGUCAUAACAUCGCUACAGCGGGGCUGCACUGGUCAGGUUGUCCUUCAGCUCAGAGAACAUAAUGAGAGUAAUUCAGUUCACGUCACAUUACAUUUGGUUGCCCAAAAGCUCAGAGAGUGGAGAUCAUCCUAAAUCCAGCCUCUGCCUGAUGCAUUGUGAGGAUUCUGUCACCUGGAUAUUUCUGCAGGUGAUAAUUGUUUGGGUUUUCAUAAGCUUUGAGGAAUAUGAUGGCAGAUUAUUAAAGAGCUCUUUCCAGUGCAGCACGCACAGUUUGUAGUCUGCUUUGAGCUGUGCUCACCAUUGGAAAUAAAUUCUCACCUUUGUGUGUUCCUGGAGGUAGCUUACUUAUCACACUGCUUGCUGAGUUGCUGUCCAAAACCAAAUCAGUGACGUUAAAAGGCAUCACAAAACCUUUCUUCUCUCUUCCCUCCUCCAAGGGAAAGCAAACUGAAGUUGAUAGCAGUUUGCUGAUGCUGUGCCUUUUAGGGCAGUGAAGCUGUAGUGCAAGACAAGAAGGAGCAAACAUGGCCUUGGUGCUGGAGAAAGAGU
Molecule: long non-coding RNA, 1006 nt
Filed under: Cairina moschata (Muscovy duck)
Lineage: Eukaryota; Metazoa; Chordata; Aves; Anseriformes; Anatidae
Description: domestica (muscovy Duck (domestic type)) lncRNA (ENSCMMG00000016350.1)
Source: RNAcentral